GGGCACCUCUCACUUAGGCAGG
Molecule: microRNA, 22 nt
Filed under: Gossypium raimondii (Peruvian cotton)
Lineage: Eukaryota; Viridiplantae; Streptophyta; Magnoliopsida; Malvales; Malvaceae
Description: gra-miR399
Gene: gra-miR399
Source: miRBase by way of RNAcentral